AAGACUUUUUGAGUUUGCAGACCAGAGGAGGAGAAGGAGAAGAACCAGAACCAGAAGGAGAAGGGGAGACUGUCAAACCUGGAGGGAGUUUCAUGUAAACAUCCUCAUCCAAAUCAUCAUGAAGAAAGGCAUUAUUGACAUCCAGCUGAAAAAGAGGCCAGUGAUUUGUGACAGCCACAGCAAUAAGGCACUUUACAGAAGUCAUUUUUAUUACUGGAGAGAAAGUUUCAGUAAAAUCAAUCCCCUCAACCUGUGUGUCACCUCGAAUGACCAACCUGGCCUUAUACCUUUCAACACUGCCAUCUGCCUUGUAUUUAAUUUUGUAAACCCAUUUGCAACUAAUGGGUUUCUUACCAGGAGGAAGAGGAACAACAUCCCAAGUAUGGUUAGUGUCCAACGCUUCAAACUCCUGUCUCAUGGCAGCUUGCCAUGCUUUAUGGGAUUCAACCCCAAUUUUAAUUGGUCUAUCUUACCAGGAGGAAGAGGAAAAACAUCCCAAGUAUGGUUUGUGUCCAAAGCCUCAAACUCCUGUCUAAUGCAGCUUGCCAAGCUGGAACAGAUGCUGCCUGAGAAUAGUAUAGUGGCUCAGAUUCCAAAGAGGAGGAAGAUGAGCCAGAGAAGGCAGGGAGUUGACAGACAUAAUCUCUCAGAUUCCAAAGAGGAGAAAGAUAAGCCAGAGAAGGCAGGGAGUUGACAUACAUAAUCUUUAAGAUAGGAAGGAGGAUUAUGUUGUCUGUUAGACUUUCUGGGAGCAGGAACAGAGGGAGAAGGAAUUAAAACAGGAGGUGAACCAGCAUGACUGAGAGGAGCAGGAAAGGGCAUUUGCACAGAUGUGGCAGAAGAGGCAGGAGAGAGUGGAAUGAGAGAAUCAGAGAUAUCAUCAUGUUCUCCAGAGGGAAUAAAGGGAAAAGAAGAAGAGGAGGAGCAGAGGGAGAUGCAGGUUGAAAAGGAAAAACUGAUUCAUGAAAUAGAACAUCCCUGGAGACCAAAUACUUUCUAGAUGCAAUAUCAUAGAGCCUAUAACCCUUUUUGCCAAAAGGAUAACCCAGGAAAACACAAGGAAUGACUCUGGGCUUUAACUUGUCCCUUUGAGGGAUGGGAACAGUGGCAUAGGCCAGGCAACCAAAAACCCUCAAGUGAGUAUAAGAAGGAAGUUUGCCAUACAAAAUUCAUGAGGAGACUUAUUUUGAAGCAAUCUGGUGGGUAUUCUGUUAAGAAGAUAGGUGGCAGUCAACAAGUAGUCCCCCCAGAAAGAUACUGGCAAGCCAGAUUGAAAGAGCAAUGCUCUACAGGUUUCAAG
RNAcentral lists this long non-coding RNA (1300 nucleotides) under Nicotiana benthamiana. Its description in RNAcentral is "long non-coding RNA (NBEN_LNC004324)". The record is from RNAcentral. Lineage: Eukaryota; Viridiplantae; Streptophyta; Magnoliopsida; Solanales; Solanaceae.